RNAcentral lists this ribosomal RNA (301 nucleotides) under uncultured bacterium. Its description in RNAcentral is "partial 16S ribosomal RNA". It matches the Rfam family "Bacterial small subunit ribosomal RNA", at positions 509 to 809 of the family's 1533-position model. The record is from RNAcentral.
CAGCCGCCGCGGGAAAACGAAGGGGGCUAGCGUUGCUCGGAAUCACUGGGCGUAAAGGGUGCGUAGGCGGGUCUUUAAGUCAGGGGUGAAAUCCUGGAGCUCAACUCCAGAACUGCCUUUGAUACUGAAGAUCUUGAGUUCGGGAGGGGUGAGUGGAACUGCGAGUGUAGAGGUGAAAUUCGUAGAUAUUCGCAAGAACACUAGUGGCGAAGGCGGCUCACUGGCCCGAUACUGACGCUGAGGCACGAAAGCGUGGGGAGCAAACAGGAUUAGAUACCCGUGUAGUCCCUGUCUCUUAUAA